This 462-nucleotide ribosomal RNA is filed under the name Streptococcus mitis. RNAcentral describes it as "bacterial SSU rRNA". It matches the Rfam family "Bacterial small subunit ribosomal RNA", at positions 28 to 474 of the family's 1533-position model. Lineage: Bacteria; Bacillati; Bacillota; Bacilli; Lactobacillales; Streptococcaceae. The record is from RNAcentral.
GACGAACGCUGGCGGCGUGCCUAAUACAUGCAAGUAGAACGCUGAAGGAGGAGCUUGCUUCUCUGGAUGAGUUGCGAACGGGUGAGUAACGCGUAGGUAACCUGCCUGGUAGCGGGGGAUAACUAUUGGAAACGAUAGCUAAUACCGCAUAAUAGUAGAUGUCGCAUGACAUUUGCUUAAAAGGUGCAAUUGCAUCACUACCAGAUGGACCUGCGUUGUAUUAGCUAGUUGGUGAGGUAACGGCUCACCAAGGCGACGAUACAUAGCCGACCUGAGAGGGUGAUCGGCCACACUGGGACUGAGACACGGCCCAGACUCCUACGGGAGGCAGCAGUAGGGAAUCUUCGGCAAUGGACGGAAGUCUGACCGAGCAACGCCGCGUGAGUGAAGAAGGUUUUCGGAUCGUAAAGCUCUGUUGUAAGAGAAGAACGAGUGUGAGAGUGGAAAGUUCACACUGUGACG